Danio aesculapii is the source of this 722-nucleotide long non-coding RNA. RefSeq lists it as uncharacterized. The transcript is spliced from 3 exons. Lineage: Eukaryota; Metazoa; Chordata; Actinopteri; Cypriniformes; Danionidae. The record is from RefSeq and is a predicted model, not a curated record.
UGAGCUGAGCUGUUUUAAUCCCACCUGAACAAGCUUAUCAACGUCUUCUAUAGUAGUGGGAAAUAUUUUUGAGCUAAACUCUUGUUGGCUCUACAGGUGAAGGAUUGGACACACUUGGGCGGUGGAUCGAAGCACACCACAGUGGGCCAACAGACCUUCUACAGCAGCUCAAGUCCUCUCAGUUGCAUUUUCACCAAGCAAAUUGGGAAUUUAUGGCACUCACCAGCCUCUGAAAACAGAUGGUAGCACACGAGUGAAGGACUUCAAGGACUAGCUGUAGACAGGUCCAAACCUGAGUGUCCACAGAAGCUCCGCUGGGCUGCCGUGAGGAUGCUUGCGUUGACUGGGCCACACUGCUCUUUCUGUCUGAGAGUUUGAUUGCCGGUCAGUGUUUUUAAGACAUCUCCCUCCUGCACUCUCAAACUCAGCAUGUCAUGAGGAGCCAGUGAGAAAAAAAUUCUGAAAAAUAGGAGAACGGAGGGAGGAGUGUGGAUGCAUGCAAGAGGGUGGGGUGAAAAUGAAAACAACAAAAAGGACAAAGUGAAAAGAAACCUUGCAAAAUCAAGGCCAGAGCAGCUGGAUGAAGGGAAGUGCUGGAUAGAGUGAAAACAGCAGUGCCAGAUAAAAGUAUUGAAUCGCUUCUCAUCUCGCCGUUGCUGAUGAUUCCAGCAAAAGAUUAGCAUUUUAAGAUCACAAAUAUUUCAGCUAAGAUUACAUAGCUA